AGUAAGAAAAAACAACAGGGAUCCUGUAGCACAUCAGUUUUAAAACUGUCGUGAGAACAGUUUUACGAAGUUAUGCCUCACGCUGCUUGAACCCCUAAUAUUAAAACAUUUCUGCAAACAAUCUCUGACCAUGAAAUUGGUAAGUAAUUCACUUAUAGCUCAGCAGUGGAAUCAAUACUUUUUUGCACUUCAAAAUGUAACAUUUUCCUUGGGUUUCACGUGUUUGUUGUUUGUGGGUGGAUCCGCAGUCACCUUGGGCCACUUCUGUUUGGUGAGCAUGACUGACAGGUGAGGAACAUGAGACUUCUGACUGGUGAAAAUGACUGUCACACAUUUCGAUUUGAAAGUGAUAAAUCAUUCAGCUCUAUCUCGCAGGGCCCUUUUCUGGACUCUCAGAUCUAUAGUAUGCCAUGCUUGGAGCUCUCACAGAUUCCCUUUUCUGGACUCUCAGAUCUAUAGUAUGCCAUGCUUGGAGCUCUCACAGGUUCCCUUUUCUGGACUCUCAGAUCUAUAGUAUGCCAUGCUUGGAACUCUCGCAGGUUCUCAUAUUUGGAUACUCAGGUGUAGAGUAUGCUAUGUUAGCUCUCGCAGGCAGUGGCGGAUCCUGGCAAGAGCAAGAUAGGGAACAUUGGCAAUCAACUGAUCGAUUCACACGACCCAUGGACUGACAGAGGAACAUUAGGGAAUCUGAGAACAGGUGAAAUGAAAAGCACACAGCUCUGUCACAUGGCAUUCUACCACAAACUUAAUGUGCUUUUUAAUACUGUUAUGCACUUCAGUGCCCAGUAUAAUAACAGAAAUCAUCUUCACCCAACAUCUGCAUUGUUUUCUUGUAAAAUACUAGAGACAUGCAUCACCCAGCCUUGUAUAGCUAGUUGCUUUAGCUGGAUCAUUUUGAUGAAGUGCAGACUGGUUUGUUCUCCCAGGUGUUUUUAAAAUAGGAAGAUAUUGAGAAAACCGAGCCUUCGCCUCUGUGCAGUUUAUUAUGGCAAAGAAACAAAAACGGAGAAUAUUACUUUGGGGUUCCUAAACCUCUCCAGCUACGUGAGGGUGAACCCGUAGCCUCAGCAUGGUGGUAUCUCAGUUUGUCUUCCUUACCCUCUAAUGGUGUUUCCCUGAAUAUCUC
Long non-coding RNA from Brienomyrus brachyistius, 1126 nucleotides. RefSeq lists it as uncharacterized. Lineage: Eukaryota; Metazoa; Chordata; Actinopteri; Osteoglossiformes; Mormyridae. The transcript is spliced from 3 exons. The record is from RefSeq and is a predicted model, not a curated record.